UACCUAACCAGAAAGCCACGGCUAACUACGUGCCAGCAGCCGCGGUAAUACGUAGGUGGCAAGCGUUGUCCGGAAUUAUUGGGCGUAAAGCGCGCGCAGGCGGUCUCUUAAGUCUGAUGUGAAAGCCCACGGCUCAACCGUGGAGGGCCAUUGGAAACUGGGGGACUUGAGUACUGGAGAGGAGAGUGGAAUUCCAUGUGUAGCGGUGAAAUGCGUAGAUAUAUGGAGGAACACCAGUGGCGAAGGCGGCUCUCUGGCCAGUAACUGACGCUGAGGCGCGAAAGCGUGGGGAGCAAACAGGAUUAGAUACCCUGGUAGUCCACGCCGUAAACGAUGAGUGCUAGGUGUUGGGGGGUUCCACCCUCAGUGCUGACGUUAACACAUUAAGCACUCCGCCUGGGGAGUACGGCCGCAAGGCUGAAACUCAAAGGAAUUGACGGGGGCCCGCACAAGCAGUGGAGCAUGUGGUUUAAUUCGAAGCAACGCGAAGAACCUUACCAGGUCUUGACAUCCUUCGCUACUUCUAGAGAUAGAAGGUUCCCCUUCGGGGGACGAAGUGACAGGUGGUGCAUGGUUGUCGUCAGCUCGUGUCGUGAGAUGUUGGGUUAAGUCCCGCAACGAGCGCAACCCUUGAUCUUAGUUGCCAGCAUUCAGUUGGGCACUCUAAGGUGACUGCCGGUGACAAACCGGAGGAAGGUGGGGAUGACGUCAAAUCAUCAUGCCCCUUAUGACCUGGGCUACACACGUGCUACAAUGGAUGGUACAAAGGGCAGCAAAACCGCGAGGUUGAGCGAAUCCCAUAAAGCCAUUCUCAGUUCGGAUUGCAGGCUGCAACUCGCCUGCAUGAAGCCGGAAUUGCUAGUAAUCGCGG
This 871-nucleotide ribosomal RNA is filed under the name Bacillus sp. DCR_A101. Its description in RNAcentral is "bacterial SSU rRNA". It matches the Rfam family "Bacterial small subunit ribosomal RNA", at positions 476 to 1347 of the family's 1533-position model. The record is from RNAcentral. Lineage: Bacteria; Bacillati; Bacillota; Bacilli; Caryophanales; Bacillaceae.